AAUGAACGCUGGCGGCGGGCCUAACACAUGCAAGUCGAACGAGUGGAGGACGGGUGAGUAAGGUCUGGGAAACUGCCUGAUGGAGGGGGAUAACUAGGGGAAACGGUAGCUAAUACCGCAUAACAUCGGAUGUGGCCAGAUGGGAUUAGUUAGUAGGGGGGGGACAGGCUCACCAGGGCGACGAUCCCGAGCUGGUCUGAGAGGAUGACCAGCAACACUGGAACGGAGACACGGUCCAGACUCCUACGGGAGGCAGCAGUAGGGAAUAUUGGACAAUGGACGCAAGCCUGACGGAGCCAUGCCGCGUGUAUGAAGAAGGCCUUCGGGUUGUAAAGUUCUUUCAGCGGGGAGGCGUUACCCGCAGAAGAAGCACCGGCUAACUCCGUGCCAGCAGCCGCGGUAAUUC
RNAcentral lists this ribosomal RNA (406 nucleotides) under uncultured bacterium. Its description in RNAcentral is "partial 16S ribosomal RNA". It matches the Rfam family "Bacterial small subunit ribosomal RNA", at positions 29 to 526 of the family's 1533-position model. The record is from RNAcentral.